This 253-nucleotide ribosomal RNA is filed under the name uncultured bacterium. RNAcentral describes it as "partial 16S ribosomal RNA". It matches the Rfam family "Bacterial small subunit ribosomal RNA", at positions 524 to 776 of the family's 1533-position model. The record is from RNAcentral.
UACAGAGGUCUCAAGCGUUGUUCGGAUUCAUUGGGCGUAAAGGGUGUGUAGGUGGCGCGCUAAGUCGGGUGUGAAAUUUCGGAGCUUAACUCCGAAACUGCAUUCGAUACUGGCGUGCUUGAGGACUGGAGAGGAGACUGGAACUCAUGGUGUAGCAGUGAAAUGCGUAGAGAUCAUGAGGAAGACCAGUGGCGAAGGCGGGUCUCUGGACAGUUCCUGACACUGAGACACGAAGGCUAGGGGAGCAAACGGG